GGGUUAGUAGGUCGGUCGUGCCAUUGGUAUGAACUGGUCUCGCUGAUCCCUCCCUUUUGACGAACUGUGAUGCCAUUAAUUUGGUGUCGCAGGGAAUCAGGACUGUUACUUUGAAAAAAUUAGAGUGUUUAAAGCAAGCUAACGCUUGAAUACAUUAGCAUGGAAUAAUGAAAUAGGACGUUCGAUCCUAUUUUGUUGGUUUCUAGGAUCGACGUA
RNAcentral lists this ribosomal RNA (216 nucleotides) under Campeiostachys nutans. RNAcentral describes it as "Elymus nutans partial small subunit ribosomal RNA". The stretch from base 55 to 216 matches the Rfam family "Eukaryotic small subunit ribosomal RNA", at positions 701 to 864 of the family's 1831-position model. The record is from RNAcentral. Lineage: Eukaryota; Viridiplantae; Streptophyta; Magnoliopsida; Poales; Poaceae.